CAAAACUUUCAACAACGGAUCUCUUGGUUCUGGCAUCGAUGAAGAACGCAGCGAAAUGCGAU
Molecule: ribosomal RNA, 62 nt
Filed under: Diaporthe melonis var. melonis
Lineage: Eukaryota; Fungi; Ascomycota; Sordariomycetes; Diaporthales; Diaporthaceae
Description: 5.8S ribosomal RNA
Rfam family: 5.8S ribosomal RNA
About the family: 5.8S ribosomal RNA (5.8S rRNA) is a component of the large subunit of the eukaryotic ribosome. It is transcribed by RNA polymerase I as part of the 45S precursor that also contains 18S and 28S rRNA.
Source: RNAcentral